GUUGAGGUCUAUCCUGAUGGGGCUUUUUUGUAAACCUACAUUGCUGGAAAUGCCUCAUAGAGUGACUAUGGUUUCCUUUAAUCAUAGAUUAAAUCAUGUAUUAGAUCUGUGGUAAAGAACUGUAAGUCAGAA
Small nucleolar RNA from Cervus hanglu yarkandensis (Yarkand deer), 132 nucleotides. The record is from Ensembl. NCBI's taxonomy places the organism in Eukaryota, Metazoa, Chordata, Mammalia, Artiodactyla, Cervidae.